GCCACCUCUGCCUUGGCAGCUGUUUGACUUCUCAGAUUAGAUUUCUCCUCUAUGAAAUGGAAAUAAUAGUACCAAUCUCACAGAUUUCUUAUGAAGAUGAAAUGAGAUAAUGUGCCCUAUAUGUGCCAGAUAAGCUCAUCUUUAUCUGGGGAACAUGUAGAACUACGAUGAAGUAAAGGGAGAUGGAAGAAAAUUUAAUAGUUUAAGAGUAUGUCUUAUAAAAUAAUAGGUUUCAUAUUUGCCAAUGGCUGGUGAUCUCUGCAGACGGAGCCCUUGGUUUCAAGUAAAACACCUCAACCGUUUACAAGAAGGAAAGCUAUCCAUGGAAGGAGUGAUCUGCAAUUUACAUAUUCCAGGACUGAAAGUCUACAGUUGCUGAUAAAAUAUACAUCUGUAUGUAAUAAAUAAGAAUUAUGUCUAAG
Long non-coding RNA from Zalophus californianus (California sea lion), 422 nucleotides. RefSeq lists it as uncharacterized. NCBI's taxonomy places the organism in Eukaryota, Metazoa, Chordata, Mammalia, Carnivora, Otariidae. The record is from RefSeq and is a predicted model, not a curated record. The transcript has 4 exons.